CUGUUAUUGAGGGGCCCCAGCGCCAUCUCAAACCCAACGUGACCGAACACACACACCAACCUUCUUUUUCUUUUACGCCGCUGAGCAACAAUGUCUCUGCAGGCCACCAUGAACGCGCCUUGUGAGUGUUUAUCUUUAACUUACUGUAGCUGCAAGUAGAAAGGCGGUGAUCGAUGCUUAGCACUGAUGUCUGUGUUUUCUUCUGUGCAGGCGCGACGGGCCGUGUUGCCCGCCGCUCCGUCAAGGUUUCGGCCAUCUCUGCUCCCCCGACGCCCGCGCGUGCCCCCUCGUCGACCGGCUCGGUGGGUGCGGCGGCCGGGGACUUCGUGGGCAUGCCCCCAGGCCACGUUGUGCAGCUUCCUGGCCUCCGUGGACGCGGGAAUUCAUCUGAAACUUCAUUGUUUCAGGAUGGACUCGCGCAGCUGAGCGACGCAUAGGACCCUUUGUGUCGCGACGUGUGUGCGUGCAGCAAGUCGCGGUCGGUUCUUGUCGCGGGCUAGCGCCCUAAAAUCCCAUCGCCCGCCCCAUCCUCCCGCAGGUUAAGCGUGCGAUGACCAUGACCGAGAAGAUCCUGGCGAACCACUCGGACAACUCCGCUGUGAAGCCGGGUGACAACAUCUGGACGAAGGUCGAUAAGCUGAUGACCCACGACGUGUGCGGCCCGGGCACCUUCGGCAUCUUCCAGAAGGAGUUCGGCCCGAACGCCAAGGUCUGGGACAACGAGCGUGUGGUCAUCAUCCCCGACCACUACAUCUUCACCUCGGACGCCCGCGCCAACCGCAACGUGGACAUCCUGCGGUGAGCGCAGCAAACCGGGCGGCAUCUGGGACAAGGGAGUGGACGGGAGGGGCGCUGGAUGGGGGGAGGCAAGAACUGCUGGGAAAAUCCAGGGCUGGGGGGCCUGGAAGCCGCGGCCUGGGGCAUUGCAGGCAACCAGCCUAGGCACCUCUUCCGCGGUGCAGCCCGCGUUCCCCUACCGCUCACCCACACGCCCCAUGAGCAAUUCCGCGACCGCCCCUGCCCACUGAAACACGCGCGCGCAGUGAGGUGGCCGGCAAGUACAACAUCAAGUACUUUUACGACAUCACUGACCGCUCCAACUUCAAGGCCAACCCGGACUACAAGGGCGUGUGCCACGUGGCGCUGGCGCAGGUGCAGGCCGAGGCAGGGAUAAGGGGAACGAGGGGAUGUACUGGCCUCCAAACACCAGGGGCUUAGUUGACCUUUCUGGCUGUCUAGUGGACAAUGGAGGGGCAAGGGAAGGGAAGGACGGGACCGCUGCAGCGGUAUUCAUGGGAGCGCCGGGCUGCUGUCAUAAGGAGAGCUGCAUGGACGCCGUGCCAGUCACUGGGAGGAGCGGAGGGGACAGCAUCUGCCAAGCCACCAGAGGCUUCGGCGGAGGCGACGACCGCUGCGGUGAGAGCUCUGACGCUAGCAAGCUCUGGCGGCGACACAGCUGUGCAGCGGCGCCUGGGUGUGGCAGUCAACAGCAGAGCAGCAGCCAUGGCGGCGUGACGGGUGGGCGCUGGCAGCGCAGUUGUGGACAGCGGCAUGGGGGCACCGGCUUUUGGCGGGGUCUCAAGCGGCUAAUCCCAGCAGCGGUGCAGGCUCCGGAACCUACGUGGCGCGAGGACGGAGCGGCAGGCAUCCGUGGGCGGCCGUGGCCGUGGCCGUGGCCGUGGCCGUAGGCGGAGCCGUGGUCGUGGCACGAGGCAGGGGCAGCAAGCGCCAAGGGUCGGCGGCACGGGCGAUGGGGCGGCACCAAUGCCGCGGCGCUGGCGGCGGGGUCCCUACAGCCGUGGAGUCGUGCCCUGUGCCGGGAGUCCGCUGCUCUGUCACCGGCCGCUGUGGUGCUGAGCAGGCCUGACAGCGGUAACAGCGGCAGCGGCAGCGGCAGGCGCAGGCGCAGCAUUGGCGUCUCAAGGCGCCGUCACAGCGCUGGUGGCCAUGCGGCGCGGAUGGCCCCAGGUGUCUGCAUGACGUCCCAGCUCUGCGCCUGGGCGCUGCGGCGGGCGGGCCCUGGCAGGGCUGGGGCUGGCGCCAGGGAGGUGUCGUGUUGCAGGCAGAAGCAGCCGCGGCCCGCCAAGGCACAGGGGCGGCCAAUGGGGGUGCUCUGGACUCGGGCCGGGCGGAGCGGCUGUGGCCGGCUAGCGGCUUGACACGCGGCAUCUUGUUCACGGGUACAGCAGCGGACGCACGCGUGUGCAUGAUCCCCCGGAGUCUUGAGAUGCAGGCUUGGCGGAGGCAGGGCCAUGAGGCGUGCUCAGCCUCGUGAUGGCGGAAGUGCAGGAGGGAGGGAGGGAGGGAAGGAAGGGCGGCAGGCUGCAGGCGGCCGCUGGCACCUGCACAGCGGCCGCCGCUGCCAGAGCGGCAGGGAUUCAGGCAGGAGCCAGCAGGCGCGCGCGGUGUCGCGGGGAGCUGCCGGGUGUUUCGAGUGCUGCCGGGACGGCCGCGGGCUCCCCGCCGCAAGGGAGGCGCAAACGCAGGCGCUGGUGCAGGCGCUGGCCCUGCCAGGGGGCGGGCUGCGGCGGGCUGCGGUUGGCGGCUGCAGCUGGGCUGCUGCCAGCGGCGGAUGGGCGGGGCCGGGGAGGCGGAGGACGGGGGGAGGGAGACACAGCUGCAGCGGAGGACACAGCGGCAGGGAGCCAGCAGCGCGGACAGCCCGGGCUGAGCCGAGGGUCUCCUCCCCCACAUCUCAGCUCCAGCCGCUCCACAUCAUGCCAGGCGCCGCCACAGCACCCCCAUCCACCCCGCAGCACUCCAUACAAUGGCUGUCGCACGGGAUGGUGGAAACAACCCCAACCCCCACGCCAUCUCACCUGCCGUGCGGCCACUAACCCUUGCACCGCUCCCGCGCCCACACCCGGACCCUCAAUCGCACCCGCACCCUCAACCGCACCCUCACCCUCAUCCGCACCCGCGCAGGAGGGCCACUGCAAGCCCGGCGAGGUGCUGUUCGGCACUGACAGCCACACCUGCAACGCCGGCGCGUUCGGCCAGUUCGCCACGGGUGUGGGCAACACCGACGCCGGCUUCAUCCUGGGCACCGGCAAGCUGCUGAUCAAGGUGAGGGUGUGUGUGUGGGGGGGGGGCGGGGGUGGAGGGAAGGGGGGGGUGGAGGGAAGGAGGGUGGAGGGGUGUGUUGCUUAAAAGCCAGGGGGGAAGCCAGGGCGUGGGGACAGAGGUUGAAAGGGAAGGGGGAAUGCCUGGAUUGCAGAGGGGUUUAGGCGUUCAUUAGGGGGGGUGUUAGUUGACUCCAAUCCCAGCUAAGUACGACCCCGAACAAGCGCGGGGGGGGGGGCGGGGCAGGUGGGGGCACGAGGUCGGAAGGGUGCUGGCGGCUUCAGGGUAGGAGCGUUUGGGAGGGCGACUGGAGUCACCGGAUGAAGUAGAAGGAGGAACGGGGCGGGGGCUUGGGCACGGGGCGGGGGCUGGGACGGCUGCAUACGUGGUCGCCGGAGGGGGUUGGUGGCGGCUCUCGACAGCCUGUUGGCGGCAAAGCUUGCAGGGCUGAACAACGCGUGUUUCGAUGCCUCACGGGACGCACCCGUUCUCCUCUCCUCACAGCCGCCUCUCCCCCACCCACGCGCAGGUUCCCCCGACCAUGCGCUUCAUCAUGGACGGCGAGAUGCCCGAGUACCUGCUGGCCAAGGACCUCAUCCUGCAGGUUCGUGGUGUUGUGUGGGGUGCUGUGUGUGUGUGUGGGUGGGGGGGGGGGGUAAACGAGGUUAAGGCAGUGCAAACAGGGUAAGAGCAACGGGAACAGCACCGGGGGCGGUUCUAUGUCUUUUGGGGGCAACCUGGGGGGGACUGUGGAUGCGUGCGCCAACGAAGGAACCAGCAAAGCAACCAACUAAGCAACACUCUCACGCUCCCUCUCACCUCCUCCUCCCCACCCCAGAUCAUUGGCGAGAUCUCGGUGGCGGGCGCCACCUACAAGGCCAUGGAGUUCGCCGGCAGCGCCAUUGAGGGCAUGAACAUGGACGAGCGCAUGACCAUCUGCAACAUGGUGGUGGAGGCGGGAGGUGAGAGGCGGGUGGGGAGGGUGGGGUGGGGUGGGGUGGGAGGGGGUCGGCGGCGCAAGGUGGAAGGGCAGGGGAGGCCCGGGGUAGGCCCGGCGGGGGGGGGGGUUGCAAGUAAGGCAUUGGUGGCGGGGGUAGAGGGGCGGGGGGGGGGGGGCGGGGACUGGGCACGGGGGAAGGCGGCAGGGGAGGGCGGCAGCGGAGGCGGUGGGCAGAGGAGGAGGGGGGCAGACUCACAAUGAAGACACUCAAACCGGGCGGGUGGGGGGUGGGGAAGGGGCCUGGCAUUACAACACGCGUGGUGCUUGCGACCAGCAGGCUAGGCGCAGGAGCCUUUUGCGGUGCCCCUCCAACGUACCUGGGGUAUACUUUGCUUCCCUCACUGACGCAAACCCCUCUCCCCUACUGUUUGUGUCUGCUCCCCCCCAGGCAAGAACGGCGUGAUCGCGCCUGACCAGACCACCUUCGACUACGUCAAGGCGCGCACGCAGGAGGCUUUCGAGCCCGUGUACAGCGACGGCGCCGCCAGCGUGAGUGCGGGAGGGCGUGAGUGCGUGGGCCCAGAAGGCCUCCAUCGGGGGCAUCCGUGGGGGCAUCCGUGGGCAUGGUGGGCGUUGGGCGUUGGCAGAGCGGAGUGCGGAGAGGACGGGCAAGACAAACGUACUUGUGCAAGCGUUGCUGGAAAGUGGGAGGCGAGGCGAGUCGUCCUGCCAACAUCUCACACGCGCCCCCGCCCCGUGUGCCGUGCAGUACAUUGCUGACUACAAGUGGGACGUGUCCAAGCUGGAGCCGCUGGUGGCCGCGCCCCACUCGCCCGACAACCGCAAGACCGCGCGCGAGUGCUCCGACGUCAAGAUCGACCGCGUGUACAUCGGCAGCUGCACGGGUGAGCCCCGUUUGCGCAUAUCUUUGUUUUUCAGGGGGUGGGCCGGCAGAUGGAUGGGGAGGAGUGCGCGGCGGUGCCACGGAGCAGGCUCAUUGGCCACAGACAGUCAUUAACACGACCGGGCGGUCAGGCAAAGGGCUGUAAGCCUGUGACCAGUGUCCCCUUCCGCCCUUUCCUCCCCGCCAACCGCCAACCGCUCACCCUGCAACCCCUGCAACCCCCUCUUCCGCGUGUGCUCCCCCUCUCCUCCUCAACACACACAGGCGGCAAGACCGAGGACUUCAUCUCGGCCGCCAAGCUGUUUUACCGCGCCAAGCGCCAGGUCAAGGUGCCCACCUACCUGGUGCCAGCCACCCAGAAGGUGAGGCGCAGGCCUUUUUUUGGGGGGGGGGGCUGUAGACACCAGCCCAAAGUAAACCAAACCAAGCUAAACUAGCGGAGCACAGGCAGAGGCGACAGGUCUCAGGGCAGAGGAGGGAGGGGCACAAAGCCGCAGGCGGAGGAAGCAGGCACGCAGGGGCAGGGACAGGGCAGGGGCAGGCACGCCAGGGCAGACAGGCAAGUGCGGGGCUACCGUACCAGGACCGCACUGAAUUGGAGGCGCAGGAUGCAGGGCCAUACGUUCAAGCAAGCAGGCGGCGUUGCCGUCGAUGCCGUGCGCCACAACGAUACGUACAGGGCAGGACAGGCGAUGCCUGGCACGCCGCCAGCACCAACCCACACCCACCAUGAUUGAACGACCUAACGGCGGCGCUCCCUGUGCUCACGCAUGGCGGUGGCCGCACACAGGUGUGGGCGGACGUGUACACCAUGCCCGUGCCCGGCUGCGACGGCAAGACCGCCGCCGAGAUCUUCGAGGAGAGCGGCUGCAUCACCCCCGCCGCGCCCUCCUGCGCCGCCUGCCUGGGCGGGCCGCGCGACACCUUCGCGCGCAUGAACGAGCCCGAGGUGAGCACCCCCAGUGUGCAGGCAGGGGCGGAGUGGGCUGUGGGAUUUCCAUCGUCCUGUUGUUUUCCGGGUGUCAGCCUGCCUCAGGCUGGGGCGCGUCUGUGGCCCCAAGUGGCAGCCAGCCAGCGUGCCAAGCCUUGUGACCUCAACCGGCUCCCGGCGUCCUUAGUCCAUGCAACCAAUCUCUUCUCACUCACCAUACCCCCCUGCCGCCGCUGCCGCUGGCCCUCCGCCGCAUGUGGCCGCCAGGUGUGCGUGUCCACCACCAACCGCAACUUCCCCGGCCGCAUGGGCCACAAGGAGGGCCAGAUCUACCUGGCCUCGCCCUACACCGCCGCCGCCUCCGCCCUCAAGGGCUUCGUGUGCGACCCCCGCGAGUACAUGUAAGCGCACGCCGCUUCAAUGCGUGGCGUGCUAGCAGUGCGGUGCGCUGGCAACGGCAGCACACACUGCAUAUGUGUGGGAGGGAGCAGAGGGUUGGGAGCUGCCGGUGCGGAACAUGGGCCACGUGUCGCGUUGGUCGUGGUCG
RNAcentral lists this long non-coding RNA (6385 nucleotides) under Chlamydomonas reinhardtii. RNAcentral's name for it is "long non-coding RNA (CREI_LNC000006)". Lineage: Eukaryota; Viridiplantae; Chlorophyta; Chlorophyceae; Chlamydomonadales; Chlamydomonadaceae. The record is from RNAcentral.